This 279-nucleotide ribosomal RNA is filed under the name uncultured bacterium. Its description in RNAcentral is "partial 16S ribosomal RNA". It matches the Rfam family "Bacterial small subunit ribosomal RNA", at positions 506 to 784 of the family's 1533-position model. The record is from RNAcentral.
UGCCAGCCUCCGCGGUACUACUGAUAGGGCAAGCGUUGUUCGGAUUUACUGGGCAUAAAGCGCACGUAGGCGGAUCAGUAAGUCGGUUGUGAAAUCCCAGGGCUUAACCCUGGAACCGCUUCCGAGACUACUAAUCUUGAGGAUGAGAGGGGAGAGUGGAACUUCUGGUGGAGCGGUGAAAUGCGUAGAUAUCAGAAGGAACACCGGUGGCGAAAGCGACUCUCUGGCUCAUAUCUGACGCUGAGGUGCGAAAGCUAGGGUAGCAAACGGGAUUAGAUA